Non-coding RNA from Actinomortierella wolfii, 73 nucleotides. NCBI's taxonomy places the organism in Eukaryota, Fungi, Mortierellomycota, Mortierellomycetes, Mortierellales, Mortierellaceae. The record is from the annotation of a GenBank genome assembly.
GGGGCAAUAGCUCAUUUGGUAGAGCGUUCGCUUCGCAUGCGAAAGGCACCGGGUUCGACUCCCGGUUGCUCCA